AUACAGAGGGUGCAAGCGUUAAUCGGAAUUACUGGGCGUAAAGCGUGCGCAGGCGGUUUUGUAAGACAGUGGUGAAAUCCCCGGGCUCAACCUGGGAACUGCCAUUGUGACUGCAAGGCUGGAGUGCGGCAGAGGGGGAUGGAAUUCCGCGUGUAGCAGUGAAAUGCGUAGAUAUGCGGAGGAACACCGAUGGCGAAGGCAAUCCCCUGGGCCUGCACUGACGCUCAUGCACGAAAGCGUGGGGAGCAAACAGGAUUAGAUACCCUGGUAGUCCACGCCCUAAACGAUGUCAACUGGUUGUUGGGGAUUUAUUUUCUCAGUAACGAAGCUAACGCGUGAAGUUGACCGCCUGGGUAGUACGGCCGCAAGGUUAAAACUCAAAGGAAUUGGCGGGG
This 395-nucleotide ribosomal RNA is filed under the name uncultured bacterium. Its description in RNAcentral is "partial 16S ribosomal RNA". It matches the Rfam family "Bacterial small subunit ribosomal RNA", at positions 523 to 918 of the family's 1533-position model. The record is from RNAcentral.